This 465-nucleotide ribosomal RNA is filed under the name uncultured bacterium. Its description in RNAcentral is "bacterial SSU rRNA". It matches the Rfam family "Bacterial small subunit ribosomal RNA", at positions 338 to 795 of the family's 1533-position model. The record is from RNAcentral.
CCUACGGGAGGCACCAGUGGGGAAUAUUGCACAACGGGCGCAAGCCUGAUGCAGCCAUGCCGCGUGUAUGAAGAAGGCCUUCGGGUUGUAAAGUGCUUUCAGCGGGGAAGAAGGCGAUAAGGUUAAUAACCUUGUCGAUUGACGUUACCCGCAGAAGAAGCACCGGCUAACUCCGUGCCAGCAGCCGCAGUAAUACGGAGGGUGCAAGCGUUAAUCGGAAUUACUGGGCGUAAAGCGCACGCAGGCGGUCUGUCAAGUCGGAUGUGAAAUCCCCGGGCUCAACCUGGGAACUGCAUUCGAAACUGGCAGGCUAGAGUCUUGUAGACGGGGGUAGAAUUCCAGGUGUAGCGGUGAAAUGCGUAGAGAUCUGGAGGAAUACCGGUGGCGAAGGCGGCCCCCUGGACAAAGACUGACGCUCAGGUGCGAAAGCGUGGGGAGCAAACAGGAUUAGAUACCCUCGUAGUC